Molecule: long non-coding RNA, 161 nt
Organism: Telopea speciosissima
Lineage: Eukaryota; Viridiplantae; Streptophyta; Magnoliopsida; Proteales; Proteaceae
Exons: 3
Source: RefSeq, a predicted model, not a curated record
AAAAUGGGAUUUGGGCUACUACUUCAGCAUCUGUUUAAAGUCCAUUAUUACUGAGUGAUGCAAGUGUAACUACAAGGAGCUUUCCUCAGAACUUUCAUACUGGCAGGAUUAGCUUUUUAACUAGGGUUUGUUGUUUGAUUCUUAUCCAACUUUUAUUGGAU